This 442-nucleotide ribosomal RNA is filed under the name uncultured bacterium. RNAcentral describes it as "partial 16S ribosomal RNA". It matches the Rfam family "Bacterial small subunit ribosomal RNA", at positions 338 to 795 of the family's 1533-position model. The record is from RNAcentral.
CCUACGGGAGGCAGCAGUGGGGAAUAUUGGGCAAUGGGCGCAAGCCUGACCCAGCAACGCCGCGUGAUGGAAGAAGGCUUUCGGGUUGUAAACUUCUUUUAAGAGGGAAGAGCAGAAGACGGUACCUCUUGAAUAAGCCACGGCUAACUACGUGCCAUCAGCCGCGGUAAUACGUAGGUGGCAAGCGUUGUCCGGAUGUACUGGGUGGAAAGGGCGUGAAGCCGGGAAGACAAGUCAGAUGUGAAAUCCCGCGGCUCAACCGCGGAAGUGCAUUUGAAACUGUUUGUCGUGAGUACCGGAGUGGUGAUCGGAAUUCCUUGUGUAGGGGUGAAAUGCGUAGAUAUAAGGAAGAACACCAGUGGCGAAGGCGGAUGACUGGACGGCAACUGACGGUGAGGCGCGAAAGCGUGGGGAGCAAACAGGAUUAGAUACCCCAGUAGUC